CUUUAACCACUGUUCAUCGGGUAGGUUAGUUUAAUCCAGGUUCAGCACCGCCUUCUUCAUCCAAUCGGAUUUCACAUUUUCUACUGCUUCAUCUCACCGAGUUAUAUUACCAUCUACUGCUUGCUUUCUUUAUUGUUACACAAAAACAGGAUGACACUUUCUCGACCAUUUCCUGUACCACGUCCCUUUCCGUCGACCUUCUUGCUCUCCUUCUACCACGUCCCUCCUACUGCUUCUUUUGGUCCUUCCACCAUUAAAAGCAUCGGCUUUUUCCCGCCGCCUUUGUCAGCGAAUCUUCCAUUUUCUCUGCGUUUUCCCUGUUCUCUUCUACACCAUCGACAUUAAUCAAAUCCACCAUCACCACCGCUCCACCAAAUCGCCACUCCGACAUCAAUUAAUGGGCUCCAUCAAUUUUUAUUGAAGAUGAGAACUGUUCUAACUCUAGAUUUUCGCCUUAUUUCUUGCAUCCUCGCCAUGGAGGAAGUCGGGAAAUUCGCAGUUACGAUUCUAACUAAGCAGGUUUGGCAGAAUAUGAAAGGGGUUUCAAGGUCGACUGCAAGGUGGAAAAGAAGCAACACGACAACAUCAAAUAUAAAAUCAGGCUGAAGAAGAAGAGGUAGAUUCCGUGAUCAGAUACGUCAAUAGAGACGAUGGUUCUCGGUUGACCAGUUGUCGCUUCACAAAUUUUGGCUACUAUCAGAUCCACUGUUUGGUUAAAGCUAAAGAAGACAUUCUGCAUGAAUAUUAGGUGUUGAGUUUAUAUUUUCUCUGCGUUUUUUCAUCUUAUAUUUUAAAUUUUUUAUUCUAUGAAUUUGGAAAUUAGGAUUUUGAUAUUAAAGUUAUCUUUUCUCUAUAAUUUUUAGGCAACGAGUACUCCAUGGUGAAAGACCCAAUUAAUUGGUAAUUAUUUGUUGUCAGAUCCUUGAACUUCAAAGUGGUUGGUACCCGUUUCUGCUGCUUGAUUACCACUACAUUGGCAGUCUUAUUUUGAGAUCUGUUUUAAUCAAGUUUCAAAUACCAUGCAAGUUUUUCAAGAUGUCACAACUCACAUAUAUAAGGUUUAACAAGCAUGGAAUUCUUUCAGAGAGGGCGUAUGGUGGAGAUAUAUGGUCCAGAUGCUUUUGGAAAGAUAAGUCGACUUUUAAAGAUAGCAGGAUGUCAAAAACCACUUAGAAAAAAAUUAAACCAAACUACUCAUAAAAUUAUUUGAAAUUUCUGAUUUUUGGCGCAACGGUUGCUCAAUCAGGUGAUUCUAUUCAACUUCUGAGUUUACAACACCGAAUAAGGCUCUUCACUUACGGAAUAUCUUCUUCGAUGAUACCACAUGAUAAAAGAAGAAUCGGUCGCAAGAACUUUUGAAUUGGCUGCACUCAUGUAUUAGGGAACAACUUUCAUAAAUUUCCAGGUACUAAAUAUAAUUGUAUAUUGAGUUUAUUUGUUAUAUUUUUUUUUUUCACAAACAAAAUUUGAUAUAUAUUAUAAUGUUAAAAAGUCAAACAUUGGCUUAAACCUUUUUUCCUAAUCUGUAAGUUUAUUUUCUUCAGCCAAAAAUAGCCAUAUACUUUUAUUGAUUUGUUUAUUAUGGUAUCCUACUUUCUUUUCAUCAUGUUCCACCACUGUACUUUCAAAAAACUACCCAAUUUCUACAUUUUCUACUAGAAUGUGUAAAGGAUGUGAUUGUGUAUUGUGGUGGAUGUCUAUGUAUUUUUUUAGAUUAAAUGUAAUUCAAUUUGAGUGGUUGUUUCAGUA
Molecule: non-coding RNA, 1749 nt
Organism: Lactuca sativa (garden lettuce)
Lineage: Eukaryota; Viridiplantae; Streptophyta; Magnoliopsida; Asterales; Asteraceae
Source: RefSeq, a predicted model, not a curated record